This 223-nucleotide ribosomal RNA is filed under the name uncultured bacterium. RNAcentral's name for it is "partial 16S ribosomal RNA". It matches the Rfam family "Bacterial small subunit ribosomal RNA", at positions 114 to 334 of the family's 1533-position model. The record is from RNAcentral.
CACAUGGGUACCCACCCCCCAGUGAGGGAUACCGGCGAGAAAUCGCCGACAAUACCGCAUAGGCUUCUCCUUGGAGACAAGGGGAAGCAAAGUGGCGCAAGUCACGCUGAGGGAUGGGCCUGUGGCCGAUUAGCUAGUUGGGGGGGUAAUGGCUUCCCAAGGCUGCGAUGCCUACCGGGCGUGCGAGCGUGGCCCGGCACACUGGGACUGAGACACUGCCCAG